Molecule: ribosomal RNA, 468 nt
Filed under: uncultured bacterium
Lineage: Bacteria
Description: partial 16S ribosomal RNA
Rfam family: Bacterial small subunit ribosomal RNA
Source: RNAcentral
GACGAACGCUGGCGGCGUGCUUAACACAUGCAAGUCGAACGGAAAGGCCCUGCUUUUGUGGGGUGCUCGAGUGGCGAACGGGUGAGUAACACGUGAGUAACCUGCCCUUGACUUUGGGAUAACUUCAGGAAACUGGGGCUAAUACCGGAUAGGAGCUCCUGCUGCAUGGUGGGGGUUGGAAAGUUUCGGCGGUUGGGGCUGGACUCGCGGCUUAUCAGCUUGUUGGUGGGGUAGUGGCUUACCAAGGCUUUGACGGGUAGCCGGCCUGGGAGGGUGACCGGCCACAUUGGGACUGAGAGACGGCCCAGACUGCUACGGGAGGCAGCAGUGGGGAGUAUUGCACAGUGGGCGGAAGCCUGAGGCAGCAACGCCGCGUGCGGGAUGACGGCCUUCGGGUUGUAAACCGCUUUCGCCUGUGACGAGGCGUGAGUGACGGUAAUGGGUAAAGAAGCACCGGCUAACUACGUG